AGUUUAACGGCCGCAAUCUCCCGAGUUGCGGCCACUUACAUGGAUAUCUGUGGCAAUUCUAGAGCUAAUACAUGCCGAGUAUAACCCACUUCCGCAAUUCUGCGGAACCGGUUGCUUUAUUAGAACAAGACUCUAGCCUCCGGCCUGGGCGGGACAUUGACUCACUACCUUGCUUCGCACCUCUUCAUCCUCCCGAGGAUCGUUUUGCGUGUUGUCGCAGCCCGUGUUUCAUUGCUCUCGGGGUCGCGAAACAAAUCCCAUGGUGAUGCACGAUAACGGACCACGAUCGCACGGUCAAUCCGUAUUGGCGACGAAUUCAAAUAGCACGUCUGCCUUAUCAGGCCAGAUGGCUUUUAUGGGGCAUGCCAUGGCAGUGACGGGAGACGGGGAAUCAGGGUUCGAUUCCGGAGAGGGAGCCUGAGAAAUGGCUACCACAUCCAAGGAAGGCAGCAGGCACGGAAAUUACCCACUGCCGACAUCGGUGAGGUAGUGACGACCCAUAACAAUUCGGGACUCUUUCGAGGCCCCGUAUUUGGAAUGAGCGCUCUUUAAAUCCUUUGACGAGGAUCAAUUGGAGGGCAAGUCUGGUGCCAGCAGCCGCGGUAAUUCCAGCUCCAAGGGCAUAUACUAAAGCUGUUGCGGUUAAAAAGCUCGUAGUCGGAUCUCAGUUCUCGGGCCGGUGGUCCACCGCAAUUCCGCGGUGGUUGUCAAAAACACCACCUGCGUCCGGAACAAAAUCACAAAAGAUGGAACAAGAUACAGCCCUCCCAUCGUCUCGCUUGUUCAUCCUCUUUGCCGGGUGUGAUCACGGGUCAUGGCGGGUGGCUCGUAUAUAUUUGUCUCUUUUCUUUUUUCUUUUACUUUGAAUAAAUCAAUGUGCUUAAUGCAGGCGUUGCGCUCUGCUCGAAUGAUACAGCAUGGAAUAAUGGAACAUGUCCACGGUUUCUGUUGGUCUUGCGAAUCCGAGGAAAUGAUCGAUAGGGACUGACGGGGGCAUCCGUACUGCGGCGCGAGAGGUGAAAUUCUAGGACCGUCGCAAGACGCCCAAGUGCGAAAGCAUUUGCCAAGAAUGUUUUCGUUGAUCAAGAACGAAAGUUAGAGGUUCGAAGGCGAUCAGAUACCGCCCUAGUUCUAACUGUAAAUGAUGCCAACCAGCAAUGUGCCGGCGUUCCUCCAAUGACCCGACACGCAGCUUUCCGGGAAACCAAAGUCUUUGGGUUCCGGGGGAAGUAUGGUUGCAAAUCUGAAACUUAAAGGAAUUGACGGAAGGGCACCACCAGGAGUGGAGCCUGCGGCUUAAUUUGACUCAACACGGGAAAACUCACCCGGCCCGGACACUGGAAGGAUUGACAGAUUGAGAGCUCUUUCUUGAUUCAGUGGGUGGUGGUGCAUGGCCGUUCUUAGUUGGUGGAACGAUUUGUCUGGUUAAUUCCGAUAACGAACGAGACUCUAGCCUACUAAAUAGGCGACUGCCCCGUCCCGGCGCAGUCCGAUCUCUUCUUAGAGGGACAAGCGGCUUACAGCCGUACGAAACUGAGCAAUAACAGGUCUGUGAUGCCCUUAGAUGUCCGGGGCCGCACGCGCGCUACAAUGAAGGGAUCAGCGUGUGCUUGCUUAUUCCCCGGUCCGAGAUGACCGGGAAAUCCAUUGAAACCCCUUCGUGAUGGGGAUUGGGGUCUGCAACUGUCCCCCAUGAACGAGGAAUUCCCAGUAAGCGCGGGUCAUAAGCUCGCGUUGAUUACGUCCCUGCCCUUUGUACACACCGCCCGUCGCUACUACCGAUUGAAUGAUUUAGUGAGGUCUUUGGACUGGUGUUCGCCGGGCCCCCGUGCCUGGCGUCACACGCUGGAAAGAUGACCGAACUUGAUCAUUUAGAGGAAGUAAAAGUCGUAACAAGGUUUCCGUAGGUGAACCUGCGGAAGGGAUCAAUAAA
This 1933-nucleotide ribosomal RNA is filed under the name Sphaeromimus splendidus. Its description in RNAcentral is "SSU rRNA". It matches the Rfam family "Eukaryotic small subunit ribosomal RNA". Lineage: Eukaryota; Metazoa; Arthropoda; Diplopoda; Sphaerotheriida; Sphaerotheriidae. The record is from RNAcentral.